GAUGAACGCUGGCGGCGUGCCUAAUACAUGCAAGUCGAGCGAACAGACGAGGAGCUUGCUCCUCUGACGUUAGCGGCGGACGGGUGAGUAACACGUGGAUAACCUACCUAUAAGACUGGGAUAACUUCGGGAAACCGGAGCUAAUACCGGAUAAUAUAUUGAACCGCAUGGUUCAAUAGUGAAAGACGGUUUUGCUGUCACUUAUAGAUGGAUCCGCGCCGCAUUAGCUAGUUGGUAAGGUAACGGCUUACCAAGGCAACGAUGCGUAGCCGACCUGAGAGGGGGAUCGGCCACACUGGAACUGAGACACGGUCCAGACUCCUACGGGAGGCAGCAGUAGGGAAUCUUCCGCAAUGGGCGAAAGCCUGACGGAGCAACGCCGCGUGAGUGAUGAAGGUCUUCGGAUCGUAAAACUCUGUUAUUAGGGAAGAACAAAUGUGUAAGUAACGAUGCACGUCUUGACGGUACCAAAUCAGAAAGCCACGGCUAACUACGU
This 496-nucleotide ribosomal RNA is filed under the name uncultured bacterium. RNAcentral describes it as "partial 16S ribosomal RNA". It matches the Rfam family "Bacterial small subunit ribosomal RNA", at positions 28 to 506 of the family's 1533-position model. The record is from RNAcentral.